Molecule: ribosomal RNA, 253 nt
Filed under: uncultured bacterium
Lineage: Bacteria
Description: partial 16S ribosomal RNA
Rfam family: Bacterial small subunit ribosomal RNA
Source: RNAcentral
UACAGAGGUCUCAAGCGUUGUUCGGAUUCAUUGGGCGUAAAGGGUGCGUAGGCGGCGCGGUAAGUCGGGUGUGAAAUCUUGGAGCUUAACUCCGAAACUGCAUUCGAUACUGUCGGGCUGGAGGCUGGGAGAGGGCAGCGGAAUUCCCGGUGUAGCGGUGAAAUGCGUAGAGAUCGGGAGGAACACCGGCGGCGAAGGCGGCUGCCUGGACCAGUCCUGACGCUGAGGCGCGAAGGCUAGGGGAGCAAACAGG